RNAcentral lists this ribosomal RNA (484 nucleotides) under uncultured bacterium. Its description in RNAcentral is "partial 16S ribosomal RNA". It matches the Rfam family "Bacterial small subunit ribosomal RNA", at positions 30 to 507 of the family's 1533-position model. The record is from RNAcentral.
AUUGAACGCUGGCGGCAGGCCUAACACAUGCAAGUCGGGCGGAUGAAGGGAGCUUGCUCCUGGAUUCAGCGGCGGACGGGUGAGUAAUGCCUAGGAAUCUGCCUGGUAGUGGGGGAUAACGUCCGGAAACGGGCGCUAAUACCGCAUACGUCCUGAGGGAGAAAGUGGGGGAUCUUCGGACCUCACGCUAUCAGAUGAGCCUAGGUCGGAUUAGCUAGUUGGUGGGGUAAAGGCCUACCAAGGCGACGAUCCGUAACUGGUCUGAGAGGAUGAUCAGUCACACUGGAACUGAGACACGGUCCAGACUCCUACGGGAGGCAGCAGUGGGGAAUAUUGGACAAUGGGCGAAAGCCUGAUCCAGCCAUGCCGCGUGUGUGAAGAAGGUCUUCGGAUUGUAAAGCACUUUAAGUUGGGGGGAAGGGCAGUAAGUUAAUACCUUGCUGUUUUGACGUUACCAACAGAAUAAGCACCGGCUAACUUCGUG